CCGGAAGGUGCGGCUGGAUCACCUCCUUUCUA
This 32-nucleotide ribosomal RNA is filed under the name uncultured Propionibacterium sp. RNAcentral's name for it is "partial 16S ribosomal RNA". The record is from RNAcentral. RNAcentral also lists the same sequence under 2 other names. Lineage: Bacteria; Bacillati; Actinomycetota; Actinomycetes; Propionibacteriales; Propionibacteriaceae.